Molecule: ribosomal RNA, 339 nt
Filed under: uncultured Pseudomonadota bacterium
Lineage: Bacteria; Pseudomonadati; Pseudomonadota
Description: bacterial SSU rRNA
Rfam family: Bacterial small subunit ribosomal RNA
Source: RNAcentral
AAUGAACGCUGGCGGCGUGCCUAACACAUGCAAGUCGAACGAGAAAGCCUGGCUUGCCAGGCGAGUAGAGUGGCGCACGGGUGAGUAACGCGUGGGUAAUCUACCUUUGUCUGGGGGAUAACCUACCGAAAGGUGGGCUAAUACCGCAUAACGUGGUCGAAUUUCGAUUUGAUCACCAAAGAUGGCCUCUCCAUGGAAGCUAUCAGGUAGAGAUGAGCCCGCGUCCCAUUAGCUAGUUGGUAAGGUAAUGGCUUACCAAGGCUACGAUGGGUAGCUGGUCUGAGAGGAUGGCCAGCCACACUGGAACUGGAACACGGUCCAGACUCCUACGGGAGGCAG